CCGGUAGCGCGGAGCUUGUAAAACACCCUGGAGAGAAGAUGGCGGCGGCAGCGGCUUCGGCGCCUCAGCAGCUCUCGGAUGAGGAGCUUUUCUCUCAGCUCCGCCGUUACGGCCUGUCUCCUGGCCCAGUGACGGAGAGCACCCGCCCGGUCUACCUCAAGAAGCUGAAGAAGCUUCGAGAGGAAGAGCAGCAGCAGCACCGGUCUGGGGGCCGCGGCAACAAGACGCGGAACAGUAAUAACAAUAACACGGCAGCCGCCGCGGUUGCGGCGGCGGGACCGGCGGCGGCCGCCCCGGGAUUGGGGGUCCGUCCAGUCUCGGGCGAUCUCUCCUACUUGCGGACUCCUGGGGGCCUGGGCCGAAUCUCCGCCUCGGGCCCGGAGAGCUCCUUGGGAGGGCCCGGGGGCACCUCGGCCGCCCCCACGGCUGGCAGCAAAGUGCUGCUGGGCUUCAGCUCGGACGAGUCGGACGUGGAGGCCAGUCCCCGGGACCAGGCCGGCGGCGGCGGUGGGAGGAAAGAUCGGGCUUCGCUCCAGUACCGCGGGCUCAAACCGCUGUCGGCGCCCCUGGCCGCCAGCGAGGUGACUAACAGCAACUCGGCCGAGCGCAGGAAGCCCCACUCGUGGUGGGGGGCCAGGCGGCCGGCGGCUCCCGAGCUGCAGACCCCGUCGGCGAGAGAUGGAGCCGCGGAGGACGAGGAGGAGGAGGGGGAAGACGGAGAGGACAGGGACCCAGAGGCCGAGGAGCCGCUGUGGGCGAGCCGGACUGUGAACGGCAGCCGGCUUCUCCCCUACAGCUGCCGGGAGAACUAUUCGGACUCGGAGGAAGAGGAGGACGACGACGUGGCCUCCAGCAGACAGGUAUUAAAGGACGACUCCCUUUCCCGGCAUCGGCCCAGGCGGAGCCACAGUAAGCCUCUCUCUUCGCUGACUGCUAAAUCUGCCGGCGGCCGGCUGGAGACCUCAGUUCAGGGAGGGGGAGGCAUCCAGAUGAAUGACAGGGCGGCGGCUGCGGGGAGUCUAGACAGGAGCCGAAACCUCGAAGAGUCGGCGGCGGCGGAGCAGGGAGGAGGGUGUGAUCCCCUGGACUCCAGCCCCAUUCCUAGGUACCGUGUCAACGCUAAGAAACUGGCCCCUCUUCUGCCCCCGCCACUGACUGACAUGGACUCAACCUUGGAUUCGUCCACAGGCUCCCUUCUUAAAACCAAUAAUCAUAUCGGCAGUGGGGCCUUCGGUGCGGACUCCCCCAGGAUUUUUUCCAACAGCCUCCCUCCAGGUGCGUCGGUGGCUGCCUCUAGUUCACUCAGGAUCAAUCACUCCAAUCAUACGGGCGCCAAUCAUACCUAUCUGAAGAACACAUACAACAAACCGAAGCUUUCCGAGCCCGAGGAGGAACUUCUCCAGCAAUUCAAACGGGAGGAGGUGUCCCCUGCAGGGGGUUUCAGUGCCCACUACUUGUCGAUGUUUCUCUUAACUGCUGCCUGCUUAUUUUUCCUAAUAUUGGGACUGACUUACCUAGGAAUGAGAGGGACAGGAGUAUCCGAGGAUGGAGGGCUCAGCAUAAAAAACCCCUUUGAUGGAACAUUUGGAAAAAUACAAGAAAGUAAGAAAAAUCUUCUGAUGAACACUUUAUACAAGCUUCAUGAUCGAUUGGCACAGCUUGCAGGAGAUCAUGAAUGUGGCAGUUCUAGUCAGAGAACACUUUCUAUCCAAGAGGCAGCUGCAUAUUUAAAAGAUUUAGGCCCUGAAUAUGAAGAUAUAUUUAAUAUUUCCUUGAAGUGGAUUUUAGAAAAUGGAAAAGAUGUUGGAAUAAGGUGCGUUGGUUAUGGCCCUGAGGAACAACUGACAAAUAUAUCCCAUGUGCAGUUUUUACAGUCCACAAGACCGCAGAUGUCUUUCUGGUGUCGUUUUCGACGUGCUUUUAUUACUGUCACCCACAGGUUAUUGUUGUUAUGCUUGGGUGUAGUGAUGGUUUGUGUCGUUCUGCGUUAUAUGAAAUACCGCUGGACAAAAGAAGAAGAGGAAACAAGGCAGAUGUAUGAUAUGGUGGUGAAGAUUAUAGAUGUCUUACGAAGUCAUAAUGAAGCUUGCCAGGAAAAUAAAGACUUACAACCUUACAUGCCUAUUCCACAUGUACAAGAUUCCUUAAUACAACCUCAUGACAAGAAAAAAAUGAAGAAAGUCUGGGAUAGAGCUGUUGACUUCCUUGCUGCUAAUGAGUCUAGAGUUCGCACAGAGACACGAAGAAUAGGUGGUACGGAUUUUCUAGUUUGGCGGUGGAUCCAGCCUUCUGCCUCCUGUGACAAAAUAUUAGUAAUACCUUCUAAAGUAUGGCAAGGUCAAGCAUUUCAUUUAGAUAGAAGAAAUUCACCGCCAAAUAGCUUGACACCAUGUCUAAAGAUUCGAAAUAUGUUUGACCCAGUUAUGGAAAUAGGGGAUCAGUGGCAUUUGGCAAUUCAAGAAGCAAUUUUAGAAAAAUGCAGUGAUAAUGAUGGCAUUGUUCAUAUUGCAGUAGACAAAAAUUCACGUGAGGGUUGUGUAUAUGUUAAAUGUCUGUCUCCAGAAUAUGCUGGAAAAGCUUUUAAGGCAUUGCAUGGCUCUUGGUUUGAUGACUUAUCUCGGCAAGUCACUUCUUCCAGAUGACUCAACAGAGGAUGCUAAAUCAAGCAGAAUUUGGGCAGCUGCUCUUUUGGAAAGGAUGCUGAGGAACAGGAGUUUAUUCUGAAGAAAUCAGAAGUGACAUGAAGAGAUAUGAAAAUGAUAUUCAUUACAGCUCUAUACUGUGAUACAAACGAGAAGCAAUUGAAUUCUACAAAAGUGAGAGUAAUGGAUUAUGGAUUAUCAUAUGAUGGAAUCAUGGGCAGUCAUUAAAAUAAUGUCUUUGGAGAAUAAGGUAUGGAAAAUAUUGUCUGUGUGCUGCUUAAAUUGCAUGUACAUUAUUUAAAUAUACUAUAUGCCAUCUAAGAUACUCUUAAUUGGAAGAGGGAUCAUUUUCUCUGGCACUAAGGAAGAAAACAACAACAAAAAUAACACCCAAGAUCUGAAUUCUAAUAGAAUAUCCUGGCAUAAAACUAGGCAGAGUCAGGAUAAAUGAGAACUAGACUUGUCUCUGGAAAGGGACAGCAAAGAAGCCAGUUGGUUUUCUUUCAGAGUGUGGUUCCAAUUCCUACAACCAACCCCCAUGGGCCUAGAAAGCUUCAAGCAAAGAGAAAACAUAGUGUUCACAGUUGGUAGUUGCCCAGGUAGAAGCAAACAUAAGUCUCCUGGCAGAAAUUGGACUUCAUGCAGAUAGACACAAUUUUUUUUUCUUUGGAACUUGGUCAGUGAUUUUUUUUUUUUUUAAAGAUCCCAUUGAUGCUAAAAUGAAUUUUGAUAUUAGAGUUGUUAGAAAUGAAAAAUUUUGUCUGGAGUGAAAGGAAUAUACUAUAUACAUGCAGUUGGUGGGAACUACUCUGCAAUUUAGCAGUGAAGUCUAAUCUGUUGAAUUACAUAUGUAUUAUACAAAACUUCCAUUAACAUUUAUUACAUAUAUAUAUAUUUUAUUAAGCAGGCUGCCUGCUGAGCAGAGAGCCUGAUGUGGGGCUCAGUCCCAGGACCCUGAGAUCAUGACCUCAGUCGAGGCAGAGGCUUAACCCACUGAUCCACCCAGGUGCCCCUAUUACAUAUGUUUAAAUGUUUACCUUAAUUAGGAUUCCCAUAAUUAUUUCUAGUCUAUUUUCUUAAUUUGAUCUCCUCUGUUAGUAUAUUUUGAAUCAUUACCAACCUUUGGCAAUGAAGCUCAGGCAUUUUAGAGUUUUUAUAAUUUGAACAUUUUGGAAAAGAGCUAUAUUUAUUUUAGCUACAGAUUUGUGGGUUUUUACUGUUCGCAGGUGUAUGAAAAGUCUUCCAAAACACUGGAUCCCUGCACUGAGAGAGGAAAAAAGGAAGCGUGUUUAAGAGCAUAGUCCCUGGAGUGAGAGCCAUGCUCAAAUUUCAGCGUUGACGCAUACUAGUUGUAUGACCUUAGGCAAGUUAUUAAAGUGGUCUAAGACUCAGUUUCCUCAUUUUUAAAACAAUGGUAAUUGUAUAGUUGAGAGAAUGGAAUGAAAUAAUGUAAAAUUCCCAUCAUAUAAUAUCCUGGUUACCAUUUCUAAAUCAAGGUCUAUGAGACAAACUGCUUGAAAAUGUGAUUUAUUUUUUUUAACAUCCCUUUGCUUUACUUCAUUGUAGUUACUCUUAACAAUGAUCAUAAGACAAAACUUUGAAAAUGUAUAAUCUCUUCAGUGCUUUCUUUUUUAAAUGAUCUAUUCCCUAUCCCAGCAAGUAGAAAAAUGGGGUACACUCCUGAUUAGCAUAACCUUGAUGCAGAAAACAGAAAAGGAAAAUUUAGAGGCCAGUCUCGUUGAACAAAGAUGCAAAAGUCCCAAACAAACUAAAGUGGCCAGCAUACCAAAUCCUGCAACACACAACUAAGAAUUAUACAUCAUGACCAUAUUGGAUGUAUUCCAAGGAAUGCAGGACUGGUUUAACAUUAGAAAAUCAAUAUAAUUUGUCCCAUUAACAGAAUAAAUGAAAUAAAUAUGAUCACCUCAUUUAGAUGCAGUAAACCACCUAACAAUUCAACAUCCAUAUUCCUUUUCAUAAAAAAAGUAAUUCUUAACAAACUAGAAGGGAACUUCUUAAAUCUCAUAAAGAAAUAUUUACCAAAAACCUAAAAUAAAGAUAUUAAUGGUAAAUUCUCUGGUAUGUCCCUGUUGGGUACAGUUUUGAAACCUAAGUUUGACUUCUUUUAUUUCUGUUUCAGAAAAAAAAAAGCUUUUUUGUUCUUCACUAUUAACAAUUUUUGUUCUUUUAAAACUAAUGUAUUCUCCCAUUUUAUCUUACUUUGAAAUGAUAUAGUCUUUCGUGUCUCCUAAAUUAUUCAUUUUAUUGUUAGUUUUUCCCAACUAUUGUGUCCCAGAAUUCUUCCUUGUAUGCUCAGUGCUUCUGCUUUAAAAAGGCAGAAAAUCUAAAUGUAAAUGUUUUUCUCUCAAUGUGAAAACAUUGAGAUUCAGAUCUCAGCUAUGACUGUUGUAGAAUUAUCAUCAUCGGACCUAUGGUAGCGUUGGUCACUAGAGUUGUGUCAGCUCCUGACUGGAAUGGAUCAGUUGUAUUUCACCAAUGAUUGUCUACAGUCAGUCCUGUAUUAUUAAAAUGUUCCUUGCUGUGACACUAAACAUAAAGGCUGGUAUAAUCUUUUAAUUAUAGGACUCUUAGAAGUCAAUGUUAUGCAGUAUACAUAUGGUAACAGUUUGGUGUACAUCCUUGGAAGAUCCCAGGAGCAACAGAGAUGAGUGAAGAGCAGACAGUGAAUGAGCAGGAGAAACUGCUUCUGUGAGAGUCCUGUGGGUUGAAUCCUCUCCUUACAUUCGAAGAACUAGCCACGAGCCUUGUAUGUACACUCAUUCUGUUAUUCAUCAUUGUAAAUUAUACAUAGUUCCACAUUUAAAUAAAGCCACACUUUCAAAAUUACAAUGU
Lutra lutra (Eurasian river otter) is the source of this 5495-nucleotide RNA transcript. It is a transcript of the gene named LEM domain containing 3, with no coding region annotated. The transcript is spliced from 14 exons. NCBI's taxonomy places the organism in Eukaryota, Metazoa, Chordata, Mammalia, Carnivora, Mustelidae. The record is from RefSeq and is a predicted model, not a curated record.